UACGUAGGUGGCAAGCGUUGUCCGGAUUUACUGGGCGUAAAGAGCGCGCAGGCGGUCGUUCAAGUCGCGUGUGAAAGCCCCCGGCUCAACUGGGGAGGGUCAUUCGAUACUGUUCGACUCGAAGGCAGGAGAGGGAAGUGGAAUUCCGGGUGUAGUGGUGAAAUGCGUAGAUAUCCGGAGGAACACCAGUGGCGAAGGCGACUUUCUGGCCUGUUCUUGACGCUGAGGCGCGAAAGCUAGGGGAGCAAACGGG
This 253-nucleotide ribosomal RNA is filed under the name uncultured bacterium. Its description in RNAcentral is "partial 16S ribosomal RNA". It matches the Rfam family "Bacterial small subunit ribosomal RNA", at positions 524 to 776 of the family's 1533-position model. The record is from RNAcentral.